This 561-nucleotide non-coding RNA is filed under the name Pan troglodytes (chimpanzee). Lineage: Eukaryota; Metazoa; Chordata; Mammalia; Primates; Hominidae. The record is from RNAcentral.
UUAACUCAGUCUGACUGGAAGAAUUUAGGACCACUGCAUCCUGUCUUAAUCCAAGGGUGGAUCCUUAGGGUGUUGACUGCUGCAGUUUCAAGCUUACAUCUGCACCCUGCAGAAUCCAGAGGAAGAGACAAUGCCUGUUCCAGUGGCUCUCAAGAAAUUCUUUUCCAGCCAGGCAUGGUGGCUCAGGCCUGUAAUCCCAGCACUUUGGUAGGCUAAGUACUGGACUGGUUUUGAUGCUUUCACCAGUAACAGAAGCUCAAGCUGUGCUCAACUGACCCCCAAGGAUCCAGCCUGUCUCUGGGAUUCUCUAGGCCGUCCCGGAACUCCUACCAUGACCAGGGAAGUGUAGGGUUGGGGUUUGGCCCUAGACCUCUUAUCUAUCCACCUGCAAAGCCGUUUUAGUAACAGAUUUGGAAGCAAAGUAAGGUUUUUGAUGGCAGCUUGGUCACCAGCACUUCACUUAGGAACCAGUGCUGGGGAAGCGGGUGGGACAAUUUCUGAGUGUCUCCUGGGACAGACAUAUAGGCCAUCGCUCCACUAGGGGCAUGGAGGGUAUGUGUG